This 77-nucleotide microRNA precursor is filed under the name Scleropages formosus (Asian bonytongue). RNAcentral describes it as "mir-17 microRNA precursor family". It matches the Rfam family "mir-17 microRNA precursor family". From Rfam's summary of the family: This family represents the microRNA (miRNA) precursor mir-17, family, which includes mir-20, mir-91, and mir-103. miRNAs are transcribed as ~70nt precursors (modelled here) and subsequently processed by the Dicer enzyme to give a ~22nt product. In this case the mature sequence comes from the 3' arm of the precursor. Lineage: Eukaryota; Metazoa; Chordata; Actinopteri; Osteoglossiformes; Osteoglossidae. The record is from Rfam by way of RNAcentral.
UCAGCAGUAUUAAAGUGCUUAUAGUGCAGGUAGCUUCUUGUCGUCUACUGCAGUGUGAGCACUUCAAGUACUUCUAA